Molecule: ribosomal RNA, 442 nt
Filed under: uncultured bacterium
Lineage: Bacteria
Description: partial 16S ribosomal RNA
Rfam family: Bacterial small subunit ribosomal RNA
Source: RNAcentral
CCUACGGGAGGCAGCAGUGGGGGAUAUUGGGCAAUGGGCGCAAGCCUGACCCAGCAACGCCGCGUGAAGGAAGAAGGCUUUCGGGUUGUACACUUCUUUUAAGGGGGAAGAGCAGAAGCGUGUACCCCUUGAAUAAGCCACGGCUAACUACGUGCCAGCAGCCGCGGUAAUACGUAGGUGGCAAGCGUUGUCCGGAUUUACUGGGUGUAAAGGGCGUGCAGCCGGAGAGACAAGUCAGAUGUGAAAUCCACGGGCUCAACCCGGGAACUGCAUUUGAAACUGUUGCCCUUGAGUGUCGGAGAGGUAAUCGGAAUUCCUUGUGUAGCGGUGAAAUGCGUAGAUAUAAGGAAGAACACCAGUGGCGAAGGCGGAUUACUGGACGAUAACUGACGGUGAGGCGCGAAAGCGUGGGGAGCAAACAGUAUUAGAUACCCGGGUAGUC